GUAUCAUGGCUCAGGACGAACGCUGGCGGCGCGCCUAACACAUGCAAGUCGAACGAGCGAGAGAGAGCUUGCUUUCUUCGAGCGAGUGGCGAACGGGUGAGUAACGCGUGAGGAACCUGCCUCAAAGAGGGGACAACAGUUGGAAACGACUGCUAAUACCGCAUAAGCCCACGACCCGGCAUCGGGUAGAGGGAAAAGGAGCAAUCCGCUUUGAGAUGGCCUCGCGUCCGAUUAGCUAGUUGG
RNAcentral lists this ribosomal RNA (243 nucleotides) under uncultured bacterium. RNAcentral describes it as "partial 16S ribosomal RNA". It matches the Rfam family "Bacterial small subunit ribosomal RNA", at positions 14 to 252 of the family's 1533-position model. The record is from RNAcentral.